Molecule: long non-coding RNA, 1156 nt
Filed under: Numida meleagris (helmeted guineafowl)
Lineage: Eukaryota; Metazoa; Chordata; Aves; Galliformes; Numididae
Description: lncRNA (ENSNMEG00000007799.1)
Source: RNAcentral
UUUAAAGCCAGGGACCAUGCUUAGCCUUCAUUGAUGUAAGAGUGAUCAGACCUUUUGCUAGCACUGUUGCACAGCCUGUACCAGAUUAACCAGAGCUGCUGCUUCUCCCAGUGAGGCUCUUUGGCUCUGGAAUAUUUGCAGAUCAGACCCUACUGUGAAUGCAAAUGAGACUAUGCAAGUUGGAUCCACGAGUAGGAAAUGUAAAGAUACAUGCCUAAGUCAGGAAGACUGAAUAACUGGCAUUCAGGAGCCCACAGGAUGGUGUCUUAGUGACAGAACAGAAAAAGAAAAUGAAAAUAAUACACAAUCUCUUUCAACUCUGAAGUGGCUGGCUGCACAAUCCCACUUCAAAUGGGUCAUCCCAGAGCCCAGGCUGUCAGGUGAGCUCAUGGUUACAGACAGGCUGAGAAAGAUUUGCCUUCCUUGAUGCUUUUUGCUCUCACCUGAAAUGUCAGCUCUCCUUCUCCAUAUAGCCCUCCCCAGCUUAGCUCUGUACUGACACUGCAAUAGAUAGCAGCUCUGAGAACUGCUUCUUGGUUGCUCAGGUGCUUGACUGUGUAUUUAAAUAACUGAUCUUAAGCAGCUACCUUUAAAAUAAAUGAAAUUCAGGUGAGAGCCAUAAGUAAUGUUUGGGAGAGAACCACAGGGAUCCUUUCUUUGGUGUUAAUUCUGCAAUGCAUAAGUUAAAUUUACAGGAAAAAAAAAAAGGCUAGCCCGAAGUUCAAUGGUACCAUCAUUUUCCUUAUGGUUGCUUCAUUUUGAGCACGUCUCAGUACAAUGUAGAUUUUAUUAUAUUGAAGACUGGAAUUGUCCAAUCCUUAUUGCAUGGAACUGCAUACCAGGAUUUCUACUGUAUUUGAAGGACAGAUGGAAAAUAGUGACGUGACAGGACAACAAAACCAUAGGUACUGAGAGGAGGAAGGAUUAGUGCACCUUACUUUGCUUUUCUUCUACUAGCAUGUUAAACUCUAGUGCCUGAAUGAAUUUGGAAAAGAUUGUCUUUUGUUGAAAGCUCAAACCUACCUGCUGCUUUCAUUGUUGUAUAACUUAUCAUCUGAAAACCCUGAAACUGAGAUGUGACAUUGAUAUUUCAAAUGUUAAAAAAAAAAACAAUACCCAAACAGAAUGUCCUAAAUAAACCAUAUUGAGCAAAACA